This 253-nucleotide ribosomal RNA is filed under the name uncultured bacterium. Its description in RNAcentral is "partial 16S ribosomal RNA". It matches the Rfam family "Bacterial small subunit ribosomal RNA", at positions 524 to 776 of the family's 1533-position model. The record is from RNAcentral.
UACGUAGGGGGCUAGCGUUGUCCGGAUUUAUUGGGCGUAAAGAGCGUGUAGGCGGCCAGGUAGGUCUGCUGUGAAAACUCGAGGCUCAACCUCGAGACGUCGGCGGAAACCAUCUGGCUAGAGUCCGGAAGAGGAGAGUGGAAUUCCUGGUGUAGCGGUGAAAUGCGUAGAGAUCGGAAGGAACACCAGUGGCGAAGGCGGCUACCUGGACAAAUACUGACGCUGAGGCGCGAAAGCGUGGGGAGCAAACAGG